This 259-nucleotide ribosomal RNA is filed under the name uncultured soil bacterium. RNAcentral describes it as "partial 16S ribosomal RNA". It matches the Rfam family "Bacterial small subunit ribosomal RNA", at positions 26 to 285 of the family's 1533-position model. The record is from RNAcentral.
AGGACGAACGCUGGCGGCGUGCUUAACACAUGCAAGUCGAGCGGUAAGGCCCUUUCGGGGGUACACGAGCGGCGAACGGGUGAGUAACACGUGAGUAAUCUGCCCUCCACUUGGGGAUAAGCUUCGGAAACGGGGUCUAAUACCUGAUACGACAACUACCUGCAUGGGUUGGUUGUGGUAAAGUUUUUUCGGUGGGGGAUGUGCUCGCGGCCUAUCAGCUUGUUGGUGGGUAAUGGCCUACCGAAGGCUUCGACGGGUA